AAUGAACGUUGGCGGCGUGGAUUAGGCAUGCAAGUCGAGCGAGAAGUUUACUUCGGUAAAUGGACAGCGGCGAAAGGGACAGUAAUGUGUAGGUACCUACCCCCCGAUCUGGGAUAGCUGCGGGAAACUGCAGGUAAUACCGGAUAAUGUCUUCGGACCAAAGGUGUGAUUCCGUCAGGGGAGGGGCCUGCAUCCUAUUAGCUUGUUGGUGAGGUAAUGGCUCACCAAGGCAACGAUGGGUAGCGGGUGUGAGAGCAUGACCCGCGUCAUUGGGACUGAGACACUGCCCAGACAUCUACGGAUGGCUGCAGUCGAGAAUCUUCGGCAAUGGGCGAAAGCCUGACCGAGCGACGCCGCGUGCGGGAUGAAGGCCUUCGGGUUGUAAACCGCUGUCGUUGGGGAGGAAAUGCAAAAGGGUUAUCCCUUCUGUUUGACCGAUCCAAGGAGGAAGUACGGG
RNAcentral lists this ribosomal RNA (457 nucleotides) under uncultured Planctomycetales bacterium. RNAcentral's name for it is "bacterial SSU rRNA". It matches the Rfam family "Bacterial small subunit ribosomal RNA", at positions 29 to 496 of the family's 1533-position model. Lineage: Bacteria; Pseudomonadati; Planctomycetota; Planctomycetia; Planctomycetales. The record is from RNAcentral.